CAGAGGUCUCAAGCGUUGUUCGGAUUCAUUGGGCGUAAAGGGUGCGUAGGCGGCGCGGUAAGUCGGGUGUGAAAUCUCGGAGCUUAACUCCGAAACUGCAUUCGAUACUGCCGUGCUUGAGGACUGGAGAGGAGACUGGAAUUUACGGUGUAGCGGUGAAAUGCGUAGAUAUCGUAAGGAAGACCAGUGGCGAAGGCGGGUCUCUGGACAGUUCCUGACGCUGAGGCACGAAGGCCAGGGGAGCAAACGGG
Molecule: ribosomal RNA, 251 nt
Filed under: uncultured bacterium
Lineage: Bacteria
Description: partial 16S ribosomal RNA
Rfam family: Bacterial small subunit ribosomal RNA
Source: RNAcentral